Molecule: long non-coding RNA, 977 nt
Organism: Cucumis sativus (cucumber)
Lineage: Eukaryota; Viridiplantae; Streptophyta; Magnoliopsida; Cucurbitales; Cucurbitaceae
Exons: 2
Source: RefSeq, a predicted model, not a curated record
UUUGUUAGGGUUUUGAAAACUUUGUUAACCCUUUUAACCAUUUGAAUUAGUCCAUUUCUUGAAAUCAAUUUGGAAGGUUCUCCACAAGUUGUUUGUAGCCACUAUAGAACAAGUUGGUGUCGUCCAUGGAUAUAAAAAUGCAAUCUUUUGUAAUCUCUCUAAAAAAAAACCUCCAUUUUGCAAUGAAUUAAAAAUGCAAGCUUUAUCCAUGUUUUAACUUUAAGGAAAUUGAAAGGCUCUCUCUCAUUUUUCCCCAAUUUUUUUUUUUUUUUUGACAAAAACCAGAAAAUCAUAGCUCCAUGUCCUACUUUUUCUCUUUUGCUUUUUGCUUCUCCUUCUCCCUUCCUCAACUUGCAUAUUCUUCCUCUCUCUUCUCGUUUCUUCCUAAAAGUUAGAAAAAUAUCAUGAAAUCAUGGCUAUCUAUCCUUUUUUCCUUAAAGGAUCGAUCAUAACUUUACAUGGAGAAUAUAGAGAGCUCAAUUUGUUGUGUCUUUCAUUCGGGUUAUGUUUGCAUUUUGUUAUGUACAUACUGUGGCAGGUAUAGGUAUUUAUUAUGGAGUCCAGGGCCCUGCCUCAAAAAUACUUCAAGGUGUAGGCUUAUGAGACAAUUCUCUCUUACCAAACUGAGUUGCGAUUCCAUAGAAGCAAGACAACUAUUCCACAUUUGUUUCAAUGGGUUUGCAGCUCCACCCCAUUCCUAGAAUGGUAAAUUCAUAGGUAUAUUGAUGAAAUUAAAAACAUCAAAAUUAGAAAUGGAGCCUUUUUGGUUUAUCCAAUCCAGCCACUGUUCUGCAUGUGGUAAGGCCACCCCCUUUUCUCCUUUUUGAUAGCCAUAUAAGGAAAAUAGACAGAACAAAGAAAUUGCUGGAUCUGGCAUGGUGCCUCGCCACGUGAAUUGUUUUUGUUUGUGCUGUUUUUUAUUUCCACUCAUUUUCACAGUAGUAAAUUUCAAAUAUGUUGAUUCCAUUUCUCUAUCA